AUGAACGCUGGCGGCGUGCUUAACACAUGCAAGUCGAACGAUGAAGCCGGAGCUUGCUCUGGUGGAUUAGUGGCGAACGGGUGAGUAACACGUGAGUAACCUGCCCUUGACUCUGGAAUAAGCGUUGGAAACGACGUCUAAUACCGGAUACGAGCUUCCGCCGCAUGGUGAGGAGCUGGAAAGAAUUUCGGUCAAGGAUGGACUCGCGGCCUAUCAGGUAGUUGGUGAGGUAAUGGCUCACCAAGCCUACGACGGGUAGCCGGCCUGAGAGGGUGACCGGCCACACUGGAACUGAGACACGGUCCAGACUCUACGGGAGGCAGCAGUGGGGAAUAUUGCACAAUGGGCGCAAGCCUGAUGCAGCAACGCCGCGUGAGGGACGACGGCUUCGGGUUGUAAACCUCUUUUAGUAGGGAAGAAGCGAAAGUGACGGUACCUGCAGAAAAAGCACCGGCUAACUACGUGCCAGCAGCCGCGGUAAUACGUAGGGUGCAAGCGUUAUCCGGAAUUAUUGGGCGUAAAGAGCUCGUAGGCGGUUUGUCGCGUCUGCUGUGAAAACUGGGGGCUCAACCCCCAGCCUGCAGUGGGUACGGGCAGACUAGAGUGCGGUAGGGGAGAUUGGAAUUCCUGGUGUAGCGGUGGAAUGCGCAGAUAUCAGGAGGAACACCGAUGGCGAAGGCAGAUCUCUGGCCGU
Molecule: ribosomal RNA, 694 nt
Filed under: Microbacteriaceae bacterium HP20a
Lineage: Bacteria; Bacillati; Actinomycetota; Actinomycetes; Micrococcales; Microbacteriaceae
Description: bacterial SSU rRNA
Rfam family: Bacterial small subunit ribosomal RNA
Source: RNAcentral